RNAcentral lists this ribosomal RNA (2140 nucleotides) under Plasmodium falciparum IGH-CR14. RNAcentral's name for it is "SSU rRNA". It matches the Rfam family "Eukaryotic small subunit ribosomal RNA". The record is from RNAcentral. Lineage: Eukaryota; Apicomplexa; Aconoidasida; Haemosporida; Plasmodiidae.
CCUGGUUGAUCUUGCCAGUAGUCAUAUGCUUGUCUCACAGAUUAAGCCAUGCAAGUGAAAGUACAUAUGUAAGUAAUAUAUUGAAACUGCGAACGGCUCAUUAAAACAGUUAUAAUCUACUUGAUGUUUUUAAUAUAAGGAUAACUACGGAAAAUCUGUAGCUAAUACUUGUGAAAAUACCUUUUGAUAUAUACAUAUGUAUGUAUCAUUAAGGUAUGUAUUUGUUAGAUAUAAGAAUAAAAUAAAUAUAAUUGAAUUAUAACAAAGAAGAAACACAUAAAAUAUGUGUAUUAUCAAUCGAGUAUCUGACCUAUCAGCUUUUGAUGUUAGGGUAUUGACCUAACAUGGCUAUGACGGGUAACGGGGAAUUAGAGUUCGAUUCCGGAGAGGGAGCCUGAGAAAUAGCUACCACAUCUAAGGAAGGCAGCAGGCGCGUAAAUUACCCAAUUCUAAAAAAGAGAGGUAGUGACAAGAAAUAACAAUACAAUAUCGAAAAAUGAUUUUGUAAUUGGAAUGAUAGGAAUUUACAAGGUUCCUAGAGAAACAAUUGGAGGGCAAGUCUGGUGCCAGCAGCCGCGGUAAUUCCAGCUCCAAUAGCAUAUAUUAAAAUUGUUGCAGUUAAAACGUUCGUAGUUGAAUAUUAAAGAAUCCGAUGUUUCAUUUAAACUGGUUUGGGAAAACCAAAUAUAUUAUAUAUUUUGCUUUGUUCAAAAUAAGGUUUUCUAAUAAAUUAUGUUUUUAUCAGAUAUGACAGAAUCUUUUUUAAAAUCUCUUCAAUAUGCUUUUAUUGCUUUUGAGAGGUUUUGUUACUUUGAGUAAAAUUAAGUGUUCAUAACAGACGGGUAGUCAUGAUUGAGUUCAUUGUGUUUGAAUACUACAGCAUGGAAUAACAAAUAUGAAUAAGCUAAUUAUUUUUUUUUUUCAUAAUUUUUUUUGAUAUUCUUAUUAGCUUAGUUACGAUUAAUAGGAGUAGCUUUGGGGGCAUUCGUAUUCAGAUGUCAGAGGUGAAAUUCUAAGAUUUUCUGGAGACGGACUACUGCGAAAGCAUUUGCCUAAUCUAUUUCCAUUAAUCAAGAACGAAAGUUAAGGGAGUGAAGACGAUCAGAUACCGUCGUAAUCUUAACCAUAAACUAUACCGACUAGGUGUUGGAUGAAUAUAAAAAAUAUAUAAAUAUGUAGCAUUUCUUAGGGAAUGUUGAUUUUAUAUUAGAAUUGCUUCCUUCAGUACCUUAUGAGAAAUCAAAGUCUUUGGGUUCUGGGGCGAGUAUUCGCGCAAGCGAGAAAGUUAAAAGAAUUGACGGAAGGGCACCACCAGGCGUGGAGCUUGCGGCUUAAUUUGACUCAACACGGGAAAACUCACUAGUUUAAGACAAGAGUAGGAUUGACAGAUUAAUAGCUCUUUCUUGAUUUCUUGGAUGGUGAUGCAUGGCCGUUUUUAGUUCGUGAAUAUGAUUUGUCUGGUUAAUUCCGAUAACGAACGAGAUCUUAACCUGCUAAUUAGCGGUAAGUACACUAUAUUUUUAUUUGAAAUUGAAUAUAGGUAAUUAUACAUGUUUAUUCAGUGUUCAAAUUAGGAUAUUUUUUUAUUAAAAUAUUCUUUUCCCUGUUCUACUAUAAUAAUUUGUUUUUUUUUACUCUAUUUCUCUCUUCUUUUAAGAAUGUACUUGUUUGAUUAAAUAAAGCUUCUUAGAGGAACAGUGUGUAUCUAACACAAGGAAGUUUAAGGCAACAACAGGUCUGUGAUGUCCUUAGAUAAACUAGGCUGCACGCGUGCUACAAUGAUAUAUAUAACAAGUUGUUAAAAAUGUACUUAUAAAUAAGUGUGUACAGUUUUUCCUGUACUGAAAAGUAUAGGUAAUCUUUAUCAGUAUAUAUCGUAAUUGGGAUAGAUUAUUGCAAUUAUUAAUCUUGAACGAGGAAUGCCUAGUAAGCAUGAUUCAUUAGAUUGUGCUGACUACGUCCCUGCCCUUUGUACACACCGCCCGUCGCUCCUACCGAUUGAAAGAUAUGAUGAAUUGUUUGGAUAUGAAUUAAAAUAAUGAAAUUUUAUAUUUCUGAUUUUUUCUAGAAGAACUGUAAAUCCUAUCUUUUAAAGGAAGGAGAAGUCGUAACAAGGUUUCCGUAGGUGAACCUGCGGAAG